Molecule: long non-coding RNA, 1075 nt
Filed under: Canis lupus familiaris (dog)
Lineage: Eukaryota; Metazoa; Chordata; Mammalia; Carnivora; Canidae
Description: lncRNA (ENSCAFG00000045135.2)
Source: RNAcentral
AUGCAAUAUAUAGCUACAUUCACAUGCUCUCCUUUUCUUAGGGAUCACAUAAGUAAGUCCUAGGUGACAUAUGAGAAAAGUAAAGUAUAUUUUAAAGCUGCCACAGUAUUAGGUAAAAUCUGGAAAUUUAUACGUUGAGAACAAAGUAAUGGAAAUUCUAAUUUAAAUCAGAGGAAUGGGAGUUUUGUGUUUUAUAGCAGCCACUGUGUGUAGAAAUGAUUUUGCAGGAUUUUUCUUCUUCAGAUACAGCCACUGGGCAGCUAUUUGAAGACAUAAUUGGAUUUGAGUCUCAUCCAAAGAGUCAGAAAGACUCUUACGGGAAACAGCAGGAGUGUCACGUGAAUACAAGCUUACAAAUGACAACAGCAUUACAGUGGACUCUGGAAUUUUGCCGAGCACUAAGUUGUAUCUGCUGGUUUUUCCUGGCAUGACUUUCAUUUCUCAGAAAGGGAUAAAGAAAGUCCCUGGCAACCUGAGCACUGCAGUCUUCCUUUGGCACCAGCUAAAAGUCUAAGGACGAUUUUCCCUGGACUAAGUGGGAUCACAUGCUAAUCCCUACCAUCCUUGUAGGCCAAGGUACAGAAUGUUCUGAUUAUACACACACGGAAUCAUGUGCCUAUCUCUGGAGCUUUAUAGCAGGACCGGCAGCAGCUUGAGAACACAGACAGAAGUUGAAGAGGAGCGUUUCCCUUAUAGAAGAUAAAAAUAAAGAAUGGCCAGUGAAUGGUGGGCAAAACAUCACCGGGAAACAAACCAAACACAUGCUGUUCACUGUUCUGCUGCUUUGGUUAAUAGAAGAAAAUAUGGAAUGAGGGAGAGAGAAGAAGUGUAAACUAAAAGGGUGUUAUUUUCCUACAAGUGGUAUAAAUGAGUGCCCGUCAUGGCCCAACGUUCUACACUGGAAGGGUCACGGGCAUCCUAGGGCUUCCUCAAAGUGUGGAAUACUACUUCGGGCCUCUUGCUCUAAAGACUGAGUUUGUGCAAGUGGAUUGAUUUGCAAUUUCUGCCAAAACAGAAUGUCAGAAACUAAGAGCUUCCAACCACACAAACUUAUUAUCUUACAGUUGCAAAAAUC